CUUGGUCAUUUAGAGGAAGUAAAAGUCGUAACAAGGUCUCCGUUGGUGAACCAGCGGAGGGAUCAUUACCGAGUUUACAACUCCCAAACCCCUGUGAACAUACCUUAUGUUGCCUCGGCGGAUCAGCCCGCGCCCCGUAAAAAGGGACGGCCCGCCGCAGGAACCCUAAACUCUGUUUUUAGUGGAACUUCUGAGUAUAAAAAACAAAUAAAUCAAAACUUUCAACAACGGAUCUCUUGGUUCUGGCAUCGAUGAAAAACGCAGCAAAAUGCGAUAAGUAAUGUGAAUUGCAAAAUUCAGUGAAUCAUCGAAUCUUUGAACGCACAUUGCGCCCGCCAGUAUUCUGGCGGGCAUGCCUGUUCGAGCGUCAUUUCAACCCUCAAGCCCAGCUUGGUGUUGGGAGCUGCAGUCCUGCUGCACUCCCCAAAUACAUUGGCGGUCACGUCGAGCUUCCAUAGCGUAGUAAUUUACAUAUCGUUACUGGUAAUCGUCGCGGCCACGCCGUUAAACCCCAACUUCUGAAUGUUGACCUCGGAUCAGGUAGGAAUACCCGCUGAACUUAAGCAUAUCAAUAAGCGGAGGAA
RNAcentral lists this small RNA (584 nucleotides) under uncultured fungus. Its description in RNAcentral is "eukaryotic LSU rRNA". The stretch from base 217 to 370 matches the Rfam family "5.8S ribosomal RNA". The record is from RNAcentral. Lineage: Eukaryota; Fungi.